AGACAUCGCUGCGGCCGGGAUAGGGCGCCGCCGUUCUGGCCGGCUUUCUCGGUGCCCUGGAGGACCUGGCCGGCUCCGCGGGAAGCUGUACUCAGAGCGCGCGGCCGCCCUCUGGCAGGGAGGAGUUCGUUGCACUUUUGAGGGUUCUUCACGAAGACAUCCAAUACAUAGAAAACAAGUAACAGCAACAGUAACGAAUUUUUAAAUAUUAAAAUUGCUGGGGAACACGACGGAUCCUGCAGCUGCUCGGCUGUCCCGGUCGUCAGUGACGCUAGGGCUCCGCACCGUACCCUGCAUACCGUAGGUGCUCACGAAACGUUCGUGAGUUCCCUGCUCUGAGGAAACAAGCUUAAAAACUCAGAAUCUAAGGUGUGAGUCUCCGCAAACCUGCUUGUUGGGCAGCGUCCCCCGCCCGGGCUAGCCCUGCACGCCCCACCCCGGAGCCACGCUUCUCCAGCCGGGACCCCUGCCUCCUUCCAGGCUAUUCUCGGAACCGCAGCCAGAGGGAAUUUUUUUUUCCUUUCCUGAAACGUAGAGCAGAUCUGGUUACUCUUCUGCACAACGCCCUAAAAUCUAGGGCCCUUCCCAUCCCUCAGAAUUUACAUCUAAUUCUCAGCUCCCCUCCGGCUUGCUGUAGCCAUCCUGGCUUUUGUUUAGCACAGCACUUACUGUUAGUGACAUUAUAUUGUAUAUUAUUAACAUAUUUGUGUUUUACAUCCCUCACUAGACCCCCAGGAAAGAGGCUUUGAUGUGUUGCCUGCUGCAAGGCUGGCUGCAUAAUUUGUGGAGCUCAGAGAAAAGUGCGGAGCUUCCUUGUUCAAAAAACAGAAAGAAAGUGCCUCUGAGGUCAUAAAAUAUAAAACUUUCUCUUUCCUCUCAGUUUCUCUCUUUUCAUAGUGUUUUUAUGUGUUAUUUAAUAUCAUUCCAAGAAAAAUUUAGAUUUAAAUUGUUAGCAUGAAGUUCACCAUCCAUCUUUACGUUGUGCAAUGCCAGUUUUAAAUACUAAUAUAAGUGCACUGAUCUCAUAUGUGGAAUCACAGAAAUUAUGCAAUUUGUACUUCAUAGCUUAUACAUGCAUAUAGAUUUUGUUUUUACCAGAACCACGCUGGUAAAAACAGAUGCUGCACAAAGUGAACUUGCCCGUUUUCAUCGCACUUUACGUGCACGAAUUCUACCUCUACUCUCGACCUGGGACUCACCGAUGCGUAAGGAAGGACUGAAAAGCAAAAGAACUAUGGACUGGCCUUUUGGCAUGAUCAGGUGUCUAAUAUAAAGAAGUGCAUGAAUAAGAAAAUAUAUGAUAUGAGUGAUGGUUAAUACUGACUGUCAACUUGAUUGGAUUGAAGGAUGCAAAGUAUUGAUCCUGGGUGUGUCUGUGAGGGUGUUGCCAAAGGAGAUUAACAUUUGAGUCAGUGGGCUGGGAAAGUUCGACCCACUGUUAAUCUAGAUGGACACCAUCUAAUCAGAUGCCAGUGCAGCUAGAAAUGUAAAGCAGACAGAAAAAUGCGAAAAGAGAGACUGGCCUAGCCUGCCAGCCUACAUCUUUCUCCCACGCUGGAUGCUUCCUGCCCUCGAACAUCAGACUCCAAGUUCUUCAGUUUGGGACUUGGACUGGCUCUCCUUGUUCCUCAGCUUGAAGACUGCCCAUUGUGGGACUUGUGAUCAUGAGGCUCAGGAGCUCAAUAGGAAGUGCUGAAGCUUGGCCACAGAGAUGUAGAGAUGUGUCUGACCUGGAAGAGUUGGUGGGAAGGGGAUAGAAGACAAACUGCCGAAGGAUAGAGUGAUUCCUGAGAGAAAAAUCACAUGAUCAGCAGAGCCUGCAAAGAAAGAUCCUCUGGCUGAAUUGAUGGAUAACAGCUGUGUGCUUUAUAAAACAGCAAAUCACCAGGACACCCAUCUUGGAGACUGUUGUGACACUCAGAACAGGGGCUGUUGAGCUGCUGAUACCGGAAAGCAAAUCGUGCCUUAUCAUAGAGCAGACCUGCUGGACAGAGAUGGAGCGGUCACUUGGUCCAGUGUUGUAAUUGUUCAGUGCAGACGCCGAAGCCCAGCAUGCUGAGGUCAUACAGGUAUCUGGUACUGAAACCGGAAUUGGAACAAUGUCCUGCCCUGCGUUUGUCACUUCAAUGCCCCCCAGUUUUCCUGGACAAAGGUUUGCAUGAAUAGGAGCUGAGGGAGGUAAGGAGGAAGGCAGAGAAGCUGCUGCACUGAACAGAAGUCAGGGUGCUGUGCCUCUGCGUGUGUUCCUGCAGCAGGACCCAGCAACCGAGGCCAAGGAGGCUCCCAAACUUCUCCAGUGUCUUUCCCAAGCUUCUGCUCUUCUUUCUCUUUUCAGCUAACCUCCAGGCUCUCUAUCUUUUUGUCCUUAGGCUAUAGUCUCUGAUUAAGAUAUACUCGCUUCCCGCUUAAUGGAACUCAUCACAUCAGGUCCUACCUGUCCCCAGAACUCCCUUUUCAAUUACAGAAAACGGCCCGCUGAUCUUGGAAAGGGCUGGCAGGCGAGGGACCCUCCUCAGACUCAUUGAUUCUUUUGGUCCUGCUUUUCCAAAACUGCUCCCAUUUCUGUCUCUGCCUUCUGUCUCUGUCAAACAACCACUGUCAACAGUUCUUUAAACCAAAAAUCAUUGCUCAGGAAGCAAAUUUGUUUGCGGGAAGAAUGACAGUCUGUCGCCGUGCAGAGGGUGGCGUUCAUGACGGUGCUUGAAGGAGUUCACAGGUUAGGCCAGACAAAGCCCAGCGCGUUCAUCAGGCAGCUUGAGCACGGGUUGUCUUUCGCCUUCUUGCUGGUUUGACAUCGUGGGUAAAACCUGGUCAUUUUUCCAGAAGGAUUCUGAAGAGAUUGUGUAAAUUGAAGAAAUGGCUUGCUCUUGUUAGGAAAGCAAAGCCAACUUUUGAGAUAUUCAGGGAAUGUGAGGUCUAGUGGACUCUUUUACUGCCAAGUUUCUUAUCAUGAGAAACCGCUCUCAGCUCCUUAGUGGAAGGAAAUGAAAUGUAUGCAAAGCAUUAUCGGCUUACUCAGAUAACUGCACCAGCGUAAACCAGGUUGUGACUAAUUUGCAAACUUAGUGCAGGGAAGGUCCUUAGACGUGAUUCUGGAAUUGCCAACCCUAUGAGCUUCCACAGAUGCUAUGGGCCACUUUUAGAGCCCACGGAUUCAGCAUGUGGCUGUUGGGAACAGGCUUUGCUAUGAAAAUCAGUGAUGGCUUAUAAUGCCUCUAACUGCCAUAUAUGUUUUCACAGGAUUAUUAUUUAUGAUCUCAAUUAAUAUUUCCAUCUGAUUAGCAGUGAAACAAACCAGGAUGUGAGGAAAUGGGAACUUAAUUAAAGGUUGCUGCCCAGUCAGGGUGGCAUUCCAGAUCAUGGAUCCUGUUAUGUAGGAGGGACGCCCAAAUUCGCCCUGAGCAUGCCUCCCUUCCUCUUCUCAUGCAGCCUCUAACUCGGGGUGUCUCUUGCAAUGCCACUUAGAAUAGUUUCGCCGAAGAUGUAGGUGAUUAAUCAAGGCCCCGGGUGUCACAAUGGCCCAUUGUCCCAGAAGGCAUUCCUUUGGCCGGCUUCUGACCUUUUCUCUUGGGGCAAGUGUGCAUUUUCCCAAACUCUUAAUGGACAAGAACUCACAGACAAUGGCCCUGCAUGUAACUUUCAUUUGCAGGAUGGAACAGAGAAUGUUCGGGUUGCUGGAAGGAGGGAAAAGGGCAUGCAUUAACUCAAUCUUUGUAUUCUCAUCAAAAAACAGACACGUAUUUUGAAGAGGACAGCUUUCCACUCGGUUUUUUAUAUUUAAAAGAAUCAAUUGUUCAUAAGCCCAUCGUGAUAAUAUUAAAGGAAAUUAAAAUAAAAGACUCACUCACAGUCCUA
RNAcentral lists this long non-coding RNA (3855 nucleotides) under Homo sapiens (human). Its description in RNAcentral is "COPS8 divergent transcript, transcript variant 10 (COPS8-DT)". Lineage: Eukaryota; Metazoa; Chordata; Mammalia; Primates; Hominidae. The record is from RNAcentral.